RNAcentral lists this ribosomal RNA (468 nucleotides) under uncultured bacterium. RNAcentral's name for it is "partial 16S ribosomal RNA". It matches the Rfam family "Bacterial small subunit ribosomal RNA", at positions 28 to 507 of the family's 1533-position model. The record is from RNAcentral.
GACGAACGCUGGCGGCGUGCUUAACACAUGCAAGUCGAACGGAAAGGCCCUGCUUUUGUGGGGUGCUCGAGUGGCGAACGGGUGAGUAACACGUGAGUAACCUGCCCUUGACUUUGGGAUAACUUCAGGAAACUGGGGCUAAUACCGGAUAGGAGCUCCUGCUGCAUGGUGGGGGUUGGAAAGUUUCGGCGGUUGGGGAUGGACUCGCGGCUUAUCAGCUUGUUGGUGGGGUAGUGGCUUACCAAGGCUUUGACGGGUAGCCGGCCUGAGAGGGUGACCGGCAAAAUGGGGACUGAUAGAAGGCCCAGCCUCCCCGGGGGGGCAGCGGGGGGGAAUAUGGCACAGUGGGGGGAGGCUGGAGGCAGCAACCCCGCGGGGGGGAGGGGGGCUUGGGGUUUAAAACCCGCUUUCGCCUGUGACGAAGGGGGGGGGAGGGAAAGGGGUAAAGAAGCCCGGCCAAACCACGUC